GUGUGUGUGUGUGUGUUUACCCCCCACCCCCUUCCACCCCUGCGCAAUAGCACCAGUCCUCCAAAGAGGAAUCUUGAAUUGGUGAAUUACGCCAAGCCCUCGUUUCUGAAACUAGAGUCGCGGCAUCUGAUGGCACUUGUCAGGCAGGACGACCAGACUAGGAAGGAGAGACCAGAAGCUAGAGCUUGGGAGGCUCCGUGGACGGUUCCCGGGGGAGCGGGUGACAGGCGGUGAGGCUCUCGCGUCCUCUGAUUCCCGCACAGUGACCGAGGGAGAGUGUGCUAGCAAUGGCUUUGCUGCCGAACGCGUGGUCUUGCCAUUUUCGUGUCCCGAUACGGCACCCACGAUCGCCCGAUCGAUCGGAAAUAGGAGGGAAAGGUAGAGUGGAAAAUUGAUUUCUUGCAGAGACUGAGGCGCCGAAUGAUAGAGGGAAUAAACAUUUGCCCUGGAUAAAAAUGUUCUUGGCUGUGCUCCUGCCCUAAUAAGGAUCUAGACCAGAAGAUUUUCUUCAGUCAUCAAAUUUUACCCAAAAGAUUACUAUUGUGUUAUAUAUGUCUGUUUUACACAGGUUGACCGAUGUUGGUUGGGGGAUCUGAGGUCCACACAAGGAGGUCGAAUGUCCUGACUUAGAUUUAUUACAAAUUCAACCUUAACAAUUGUGAUAUAUAGAAAGCAUACUUUGCAUAUAUGAUCUUCUUCUGCUGUCUAAACCUACUUACCUAAAUUGCUAUUCAAAAAAAUACAGUUGUUUGUUGAGGACCCAACCUGACCUAAGUUAGAAAAUGUAUCAUUAAAAUUUUUAUUUUAUAUGUGAAA
Molecule: long non-coding RNA, 816 nt
Organism: Neogale vison (American mink)
Lineage: Eukaryota; Metazoa; Chordata; Mammalia; Carnivora; Mustelidae
Exons: 4
Source: RefSeq, a predicted model, not a curated record